AGAGAUUAUGAUACUUUCUUCACAGGGGAGUUCUGAGGACGCUUAUGAAGUGCUUUGAAUCUGCAGGAAGAAAGUUACUGUAUGGUAGCAUUCAAGUCCCAUCUCUGAUGAAGAACCUUUUGCUACCCCACCUCCCAGUGAUGAACUCCACAACCUAACGUGAGCAGCGACAACUGGACUGCCCAACUGCUAUUAGCCCUGCUAACACUCUAC
RNAcentral lists this long non-coding RNA (213 nucleotides) under Struthio camelus australis. RNAcentral's name for it is "lncRNA (ENSSCUG00000008300.1)". Lineage: Eukaryota; Metazoa; Chordata; Aves; Struthioniformes; Struthionidae. The record is from RNAcentral.